This is a non-coding RNA of Ictidomys tridecemlineatus (thirteen-lined ground squirrel), 545 nucleotides long. NCBI's taxonomy places the organism in Eukaryota, Metazoa, Chordata, Mammalia, Rodentia, Sciuridae. The record is from RefSeq and is a predicted model, not a curated record.
GUGCAGCCUGGAUGCCACAGGGCUGUAUCCUCUUUCUUCCCAUGAUAUCUCCUCCCAUGUGCCCAGACAUAUGAGUCCUGGCAGUGCCCGCUAAUGAUACAGCUGGUAGUAUCUUCUGUCUUCCCUCCAGGAAGCUUUGUUUGGUUUGAAGCCACUGAGCCAGGAGACAGAAAUACUUUGGAGACACCUUGUGAUCAAGUCAGCAAAAAUUCUGUACUCUUCAUUGAUACAUGAGAAAGAACGUGAGAAGCACACAGUUUGUCCCUAACUCUAGGCUGGGAAGAGAAUUUCAUCUGCAAACAACAGAACUUCCAGGGGAGAGUCCUGGGAAGUGAAAACUGGGAGUGAAUGGUGCAGAAUAUGAAGAGGUUCAUGGUAAGUCAAUUUUUCUUAAUGAUUCAUUCAUUCACUUUUAUAACAAAUGUUUUCUGAGACCUUCUAUGUGCUGGCUCCCAGGCAUGGUGCUGGGGAUAUGAGAAAUAUAUUGACAAACAAAAUUAAUCAUUGCCAUGAACCAGGGAUAUGACAUUUGGGAAGGUUAAAAU